This 270-nucleotide ribosomal RNA is filed under the name uncultured archaeon. RNAcentral describes it as "partial 16S ribosomal RNA". It matches the Rfam family "Archaeal small subunit ribosomal RNA", at positions 477 to 747 of the family's 1478-position model. The record is from RNAcentral.
CAGCACCUCAAGUGGUCAGGAUGAUUAUUGGGCCUAAAGCAUCCGUAGCCGGCGCUGUAAGUUUUCGGUUAAAUCUGUACGCUCAACGUACAGGCUGCCGGGAAUACUGCAGCGCUAGGGAGUGGGAGAGGUAGACGGUACUCGGUAGGAAGGGGUAAAAUCCUUUGAUCUAUUGAUGACCACCUGUGGCGAAGGCGGUCUACCAGAACACGUCCGACGGUGAGGGACGAAAGCUGGGGGAGCAAACCGGAUUAGAGACCCGAGUAGUCC